This is a non-coding RNA of Pogona vitticeps (central bearded dragon), 148 nucleotides long. NCBI's taxonomy places the organism in Eukaryota, Metazoa, Chordata, Lepidosauria, Squamata, Agamidae. The record is from RefSeq and is a predicted model, not a curated record.
AAUAUUAAAUCUUUCCCUUCAAAACCGAUGGAUGAAUAAUCUAUGCUCUGCAGUGGUAGAAGGCUCAGCAACCUGCCAGAAAUUGCAGACCCCGGGGAGAUGUUGGGAAAAGAAAACAGAAAUUUGCAGGAGCAUAUCAGUCACCAUG